Molecule: long non-coding RNA, 241 nt
Filed under: Vitis vinifera (wine grape)
Lineage: Eukaryota; Viridiplantae; Streptophyta; Magnoliopsida; Vitales; Vitaceae
Description: long non-coding RNA (VVIN_LNC006205)
Source: RNAcentral
UCCAAAAAAAAAAAAAGGGUUUCCUUCCACUUCCCCACGUCUCUCUCCCGUCAAUCUUUCAGACCUCUUCUCUACAUUCCCCCUUGCUCUGUUUUUUUUUUUCUUUUAUCCGCCUCUCUUAGCUUUCUUGCAAGCUUCUACCGGCUCCAUUGUUCUUGGUUCGGCGAAGAUGUCAUCCUUAAUGACCACCAUGGCAAGAUGGUGAUGUCUGCCACACGUCUCAUGCAACUUGGCUCUUUCG